AAACGAUUUUCUGCCUCGAGAGGAUUACAAAUAUAUAGUGGCGCUGAUCUGAUAUCCAAAUGCCUAAGCUCUGACAUUCUCCAGAUAUCGAGUGGUUGCUCCAACUCUUUCCUUCCAAGACCACCAAGAAUUAUGGUCUGUAGAUUUCUCAAUUUGGCUAGUGAAACACCUUUUCCAAUUUUUGCAGCAACAUAUCUCAAAUGUACAAGCUCAGGUAUUACACAAGAGAAAUCGUAAUAUACUGAUGAUACGUCCAACACCUUAAGCAACUUGAACUCUGAAACAGUGGAAUAAGUCUUUAAAUAUUGCGUUGAAAUAAAGGUACGAGUUAUACUUGUUAUAUCAUUG
Molecule: unclassified non-coding RNA, 348 nt
Filed under: Hevea brasiliensis (rubber tree)
Lineage: Eukaryota; Viridiplantae; Streptophyta; Magnoliopsida; Malpighiales; Euphorbiaceae
Source: RNAcentral